Non-coding RNA from Sus scrofa (pig), 1677 nucleotides. Lineage: Eukaryota; Metazoa; Chordata; Mammalia; Artiodactyla; Suidae. The record is from RefSeq and is a predicted model, not a curated record.
AAGGAAACACUUUGCCGGAGAAGGAGGCGGCGAAAGUGAAGAUGGGCGCCCGGGUCUCGGCGUUGAGCAGGGCCACGCGCCCCGCCUCGUAGUCCAGGGCGACGCCCACGCGGCGCGGGAUCUCGCUCAGCGGCAGGAGGCAGAGGAUGACAGCUCUUGUACCUGACCUGCAAGUGGUGCUGUGCUAGCAGAUGGGAAAUGUGGGGAACUUCUCAGGACCAGAAGUUAGUGAGAAGGAGCGAUCCAACUGAGAAGCUGGUGCUCCUUCCAGAAACUGGCUGAUCAUGUGACCCUGGUAUCCUGUGUGGAUCACCCAUCCUGCCCCCUUGGAAUAAACAGAGGAAGAGCCUCCAGUCGACCCCGGAGACGGUCCUGCGGAGAGAAGAACCGGCCAGAAGAAGAGGCUGAAGUCACAAUUCAACUCACAGAUAUUGUCUGCUGUCUUCCGGGCACACUGUUAAGUGCUGAGGAAUUCAAAGGUGAAAAAAGCCCAGUUCUUGCCCCUAAAAGAUCACCAUCUAGGGGCAGAGUCACAAGUGAUUAAAAUACAAAUGGACAAAUGCAACAGUCAAAUGCACAGGUGUGGGCACAGGAGAGAUGACAGCAGCACAGCGGAGGGGACAGUUCUGACUGGAGGGAAGAAAAGGCUUUAGAAAGCAGAAACUGGAGAUCAGUGACAUCUCCCCCGGGGACACAGGUUCAAUCCCUGGCUGGGCACAGUGGCUUAAAGGAUCUGGCGUUGCUGCAGCUCCGAUCUGAUCCCUAGCCUGGGAACUCCAUAUGCCUCAGGGCACCCAAAAAAGGAAAAAAAAAAAAAAAAAAAAAAAAAAGAAGCAGAAACCGGUUACAGUGAGCCUUGAAAGAUAAAUUUCCAGUUGGGUACGAGAGGGGUAGGAGAGUAUUUAAUGUCUCUGAACUGUACACUAACAAAUAGUAAAAAUGGUUAAAAAAAAAAAAAGAAUGAGAGGAAAGGAGAGCUUUGCAAAAGGAAGGAGCUACAUGGUAAAAGCAUUAGAAGCAAGAAAGGAAGUUAAUUCAGCAAACAGCAGGUACCAAUGGCCAGUCUGGCACUGGACAUAUGGUGCCAGGGGCCGGCAGCUGAGCCAUGAGACUGGACAAGAAGGCAGGAUCCUGCCUGCAGGUGGCCUUGAAGCCUUGCUAAAGUCACAGGCUUUCUUUGGGCCCUAGGGAUCCAGGGGCGGAUUAUGGAAGGGGAGGGACAUGAUGGGGUGUGUGAUUUGGGAAGCUUGGCAGGUGACCGGAAAGGGGAGCAUAGGCUGGAGCCUGGAUGACAGGUGGGCAGCCUGGAUUUGGGGGUGGCGGUUGUGGAGAUGAUGCAGAGGGAAAGAUGAGCCAAGCUUCUGAGGAGGCCAUUUCCAGAGCUGGAGCCUGGGUGACAAGCAAGAGAUCUGAGAGGCAGACGGAAUGAUAAUGUCCCCAAGACCAGAUGGGCUAGUAUCUGCCACACCUCCUGCUCUCAAAAACAAGAGCUCUGCUUGGAGGAAGCCUUCUUGGACUCUCUCUCCUCUCUGAGCCCCAGCAGUCAAGGGCUGGAUGGCUUCAUCCAGGAAGCCCACGGCGUGGGCCUGGUGGGAGGGACCCUCCCGGCAGAAGACACAGAGGAACUCGGCAUCAUUCUCGCAGAAGAAGUAGAUCUUCUCGCCAUGCUCCUCGCAG